GAUGAACGCUGGCGGCGUGCUUAACACAUGCAAGUCGAACGGGAAUUACUUUAUUGAAACUUCGGUCGAUUUAAUUUAAUUCUAGUGGCGGACGGGUGAGUAACGCGUGGGUAACCUGCCUUAUACAGGGGGAUAACAGUCAGAAAUGGCUGCUAAUACCGCAUAAGCGCACAGAGCUGCAUGGCUCGGUGUGAAAAACUCCGGUGGUAUAAGAUGGACCCGCGUUGGAUUAGCUUGUUGGUGGGGUAACGGCCCACCAAGGCGACGAUCCAUAGCCGGCCUGAGAGGGUGAACGGCCACAUUGGGACUGAGACACGGCCCAGACUCCUACGGGAGGCAGCAGUGGGAAAUAUUGCACAAUGGGGGAAACCCUGAUGCAGCGACGCCGCGUGAAGGAAGAAGUAUCUCGGUAUGUAAACUUCUAUCAGCAGGGAAGAUAGUGACGGUACCUGACUAAGAAGCCCCGGCUAACUACGUG
RNAcentral lists this ribosomal RNA (478 nucleotides) under uncultured bacterium. Its description in RNAcentral is "partial 16S ribosomal RNA". It matches the Rfam family "Bacterial small subunit ribosomal RNA", at positions 28 to 507 of the family's 1533-position model. The record is from RNAcentral.